Pelobates cultripes (western spadefoot toad) is the source of this 328-nucleotide non-coding RNA. The record is from the annotation of a GenBank genome assembly. Lineage: Eukaryota; Metazoa; Chordata; Amphibia; Anura; Pelobatidae.
GAGUAGUAGUGGGUGCAUGGGGUGGGAUAGAGACAGUAGUGAGUGCACAUGGCAGAUAGGAGCAGUAGUGGGUGCACAGGGUGGGAUAGGAGUAAUAGUGGGUACAUGGGGUGGGAUAGAGACAGUAGUGAGUGCACAUGGCAGAUAGGAGCAGUAGUGGGUGCACAGGGUGGGAUAGGGACAGUAGUGGGCACACAGGGUGGAAAAGGGGCAGUAGUGAGUGCACAGGGCAAAUAGGAGCAGUAGUGGAUGCACGGGGUGCAACAGGGAAAGGGAUAGUGACAGUAGUGGGUGCACGGGCUGGAUUAUGGAAUGUAGUAGGUGUAGG